AACGAACGCUGGCGGCGUGGAUUAGGCAUGCAAGUCGAACGGCGGUCUAGCUUUUUCGGACCGUAGUGGCGAAAGGGUGAGUAACACGUGGGUUACCUGCCCUAGGGAUCGGGAUAACCUGUCGAAAGACGGGCUAAUACCGGAUACGUUUCAUUAUUAAUAGUAAUGAAGGAAAGAUGGGGACCGUGGCGCAAGCCACGGCCUAUCACCCUUGGAUGGGCCCGCGGCCUAUCAGCUAGUUGGUNAGGAAUGGCUCACCAAGGCUAAGACGGGUAGCUGGUCUGAGAGGAUGGUCAGCCACACUGGGACUGAGACACUGCCCAGACUCCUACGGAGGCUGCAGUCGAGAAUCUUCGCAAUGGGGGAAACCCUGACGAAGCGACGCCGCGUGCAGGAUGAA
Molecule: ribosomal RNA, 400 nt
Filed under: uncultured bacterium
Lineage: Bacteria
Description: bacterial SSU rRNA
Rfam family: Bacterial small subunit ribosomal RNA
Source: RNAcentral